RNAcentral lists this unclassified non-coding RNA (797 nucleotides) under Exaiptasia diaphana. RNAcentral's name for it is "uncharacterized LOC110250895, transcript variant X1". The record is from RNAcentral. Lineage: Eukaryota; Metazoa; Cnidaria; Anthozoa; Actiniaria; Aiptasiidae.
UCUUUCGUUUGANUAAUAUCAUGCGUAAUUUACUAUUCGUAUACUCACAGCUCGGANGAGAGCAGAGAGGUAUUUAUGUGUGUCAGCACUUGGAUGACUGGCAGAACUGGUCUAGACAUAUUCCAACCAUUACGCAUGAAUUUCCCGUCAAUAUUUGGACACCGGCCAGAGUUUGUACUACGUGAAGAAGACUUGACUUCCUUGUAUUCUGUCCAUCUCUGAUUAUACUUGAAAGGGCCUUUGAAACUUCACGGAUCAAAACCUAAGAUGAACAUGUUCAGUCAAGUCCUCAUUGGAUUGCUCAUGGUUCUAGUAGAUAAUGCAGCAGUUAUCAAAGAUGAAAGCCAGUGCACUGCUAAAGUUGUUGGGUCUUUGUGCAAAUCACAUGCUGAUUGUUACUGCCCGAAUACGUACAUCUUGUGUAAUCACGAGAAAAGGUGCGAAAACGCUAGUCUGGCCCUCAUCUCCAUUCUUCUUCCAUGUCCUAAAAUAUUCAAGACGCGCUGUGAGUCUGAUGCCGACUGUACUUGUUCUGAGGAACGACUAAAGUGCGAGCAAAACGAGUGUGUACGUUUUAAGAAGAAUGGUGGAAAUCCUAGUUUGACACCACAGUGGCCAUGUAAAUAAUACGUGUACGCAACUAACAUUACAGUAGAGCUGUUACGUAAGGCAAACAAAACUAUCCUCGUAAUAUUUUAAAGUCAGUUUAUUACGUGCCUUAUGAUAGUGUUAGAGAGUUUUAGAUACUGGUUUACGGCGAACGCCAAACGUCAAAACUGAUCACGUGAUCACUGUUU